Molecule: unclassified non-coding RNA, 469 nt
Filed under: Hevea brasiliensis (rubber tree)
Lineage: Eukaryota; Viridiplantae; Streptophyta; Magnoliopsida; Malpighiales; Euphorbiaceae
Source: RNAcentral
UGUAUCUUCAAUAUCACAUAUAUUUUUCUUUAGAAUUAAUGUCAUCCAUGUGUCUUAUAUAAUCAUUCAUUAUAUACAGUAUAAAUCAACACUGUCAUAAUUUAGCAAAUGAAAAGUACAAAUGCCAUCCAAUAGAUCCCGACAAAUUGCCUAUUUAGAGAAUGAUCAAAUUUGUGGACUUGUGCAUCCAACUCCUGCAAAUUUGUGAACAAAACUAGUUAACCCCUUUAAGACAAAAGUGAAGGCAAAAUGAUGUUUGAAGUAGUAACAUGCCAGAUUUACAAAUACCAUAUUUAAAAGUAGCUUAGGAUUCUUGAUUGUUUCGCUCUAUUCUGCAUAUCCAUCUCCAUUGACAUGCAUCCAGAACCUCUAUAUUGAAGAUAUUCCUCUAAGUCUGCCUCUCGAAAUCUGUAUCGAAGUUGUUCCUGUGUUACAACUUUUCCUUGGCUUUGGGCUUGCACCAUCCUCU